This 788-nucleotide ribosomal RNA is filed under the name Lactobacillus iners. RNAcentral's name for it is "bacterial SSU rRNA". It matches the Rfam family "Bacterial small subunit ribosomal RNA", at positions 28 to 776 of the family's 1533-position model. Lineage: Bacteria; Bacillati; Bacillota; Bacilli; Lactobacillales; Lactobacillaceae. The record is from RNAcentral.
GACGAACGCUGGCGGCGUGCCUAAUACAUGCAAGUCGAGCGAGUCUGCCUUGAAGAUCGGAGUGCUUGCACUCUGUGAAACAAGAUACAGGCUAGCGGCGGACGGGUGAGUAACACGUGGGUAACCUGCCCAAGAGAUCGGGAUAACACCUGGAAACAGAUGCUAAUACCGGAUAACAACAGAUGAUGCCUAUCAACUGUUUAAAAGAUGGUUCUGCUAUCACUCUUGGAUGGACCUGCGGUGCAUUAGCUAGUUGGUAGGGUAACGGCCUACCAAGGCGAUGAUGCAUAGCCGAGUUGAGAGACUGAUCGGCCACAUUGGGACUGAGACACGGCCCAAACUCCUACGGGAGGCAGCAGUAGGGAAUCUUCCACAAUGGACGCAAGUCUGAUGGAGCAACGCCGCGUGAGUGAAGAAGGGUUUCGGCUCGUAAAGCUCUGUUGUUGGUGAAGAAGGACAGGGGUAGUAACUGACCUUUGUUUGACGGUAAUCAAUUAGAAGGUCACGGCUAACUACGUGCCAGCAGCCGCGGUAAUACGUAGGUGGCAAGCGUUGUCCGGAUUUAUUGGGCGUAAAGCGAGUGCAGGCGGCUCGAUAAGUCUGAUGUGAAAGCCUUCGGCUCAACCGGAGAAUUGCAUCAGAAACUGUCGAGCUUGAGUACAGAAGAGGAGAGUGGAACUCCAUGUGUAGCGGUGAAAUGCGUAGAUAUAUGGAAGAACACCGGUGGCGAAGGCGGCUCUCUGGUCUGUUACUGACGCUGAGGCUCGAAAGCAUGGGUAGCGAACAGG